CCUACGGGAGGCUGCAGUGAGGAAUAUUGGUCAAUGGACGAGAGUCUGAACCAGCCAAGUAGCGUGAAGGUUGACUGCCCUAUGGGUUGUAAACUUCUUUUAUAUGGGAAUAAAAUGUUCCACGUGUGGGAUUUUGUAUGUACCAUAUGAAUAAGGAUCGGCUAACUCCGUGCCAGCAGCCGCGGUAAUACGGAGGAUCCGAGCGUUAUCCGGAUUUAUUGGGUUUAAAGGGAGCGUAGGUGGAUUGUUAAGUCAGUUGUGAAAGUUUGCGGCUCAACCGUAAAAUUGCAGUUGAAACUGGCAGUCUUGAGUACAGUAGAGGUGGGCGGAAUUCGUGGUGUAGCGGUGAAAUGCUUAGAUAUCACGAAGAACUCCGAUUGCGAAGGCAGUUCACUGGACUGCAACUGACACUGAGGCUCGAAAGUGUGGGUAUCAAACAGGAUUAGAUACCCGUGUAGUC
This 460-nucleotide ribosomal RNA is filed under the name uncultured bacterium. Its description in RNAcentral is "partial 16S ribosomal RNA". It matches the Rfam family "Bacterial small subunit ribosomal RNA", at positions 338 to 795 of the family's 1533-position model. The record is from RNAcentral.